GUCGAACGGUAACAUAAAGAAGCUUGCUUCUUUGAUGACGAGUGGCGGACGGGUGAGUAAUGCUUGGGAAUCUAGCUUAUGGAGGGGGAUAACUACGGGAAACUGUAGCUAAUACCGCGUAGAAUCGAGAGAUGAAAGUGUGGGACCUUCGGGCCACAUGCCAUAGGAUGAGCCCAAGUGGGAUUAGGUAGUUGGUGAGGUAAAGGCUCACCAAGCCGACGAUCUCUAGCUGGUCUGAGAGGACGACCAGCCACACUGGGACUGAGACACGGCCCAGACUCCUACGGGAGGCAGCAGUGGGGAAUAUUGCGCAAUAGGGGCAACCCUGACGCAGCCAUGCCGCGUGAAUGAAGAAGGCCUUCGGGUUGUAAAGUUCUUUCGGUAGCGAGGAAGGCAUUUAGUUUAAUAAACUAGGUGAUUGACGUUAACUACAGAAGAAGCACCGGCUAACUCCGUGCCAGCAGCCGCGGUAAUACGGAGGGUGCGAGCGUUAAUCGGAAUAACUGGGCGUAAAGGGCACGCAGGCGGUGACUUAAGUGAGGUGUGAAAGCCCCGGGCUUAACCUGGGAAUUGCAUUUCAUACUGGGUCGCUAGAGUACUUUAGGGAGGGGUAGAGUUCCACGUGUAGCGGUGAAAUGCGUAGAGAUGUGGAGGAAUACCGAAGGCGAAGGCAGCCCCUUGGGAAUGUACUGACGCUCAUGUGCGAAAGCGUGGGGAGCAAACAGGAUUAGAUACCCAGGUAGUCCACGCUGUAAACGAUGUCGAUUUGGGGGUUGAGCUUUGAGCUUGGCGCCCGUAGCUAACGUGAUAAAUCGACCGCCUGGGGAGUA
RNAcentral lists this ribosomal RNA (830 nucleotides) under uncultured bacterium. Its description in RNAcentral is "bacterial SSU rRNA". It matches the Rfam family "Bacterial small subunit ribosomal RNA", at positions 61 to 882 of the family's 1533-position model. The record is from RNAcentral.